ACUCCUACGGGAGGCAGCAGUAGGGAAUCUUCCACAAUGGGCGAAAGCCUGAUGGAGCAACGCCGCGUGGGUGAAGAAGGUCUUCGGAUCGUAAAACCCUGUUGUUAGAGAAGAAAGUGCGUGAGAGUAACUGUUCACGUUUCGACGGUAUCUAACCAGAAAGCCACGGCUAACUACGUGCCAGCAGCCGCGGUAAUACGUAGGUGGCAAGCGUUAUCCGGAUUUAUUGGGCGUAAAGGGAACGCAGGCGGUUCUUUUAAGUCUGAUGUGAAAGCCUUCGGCUUAACCGGAGUAGUGCAUUGGAAACUGGGAGACUUGAGUGCAGAAGAGGAGAGUGGAACUCCAUGUGUAGCGGUGAAAUGCGUAGAUAUAUGGAAGAACACCAGUGGCGAAAGCGGCUCUCUGGUCUGUAACUGACGCUGAGGUUCGAAAGCGUGGGCAGCAAACAGGAUUAGAUACCCCUGGUAGGAUAGCG
RNAcentral lists this ribosomal RNA (475 nucleotides) under uncultured bacterium. RNAcentral's name for it is "bacterial SSU rRNA". It matches the Rfam family "Bacterial small subunit ribosomal RNA", at positions 335 to 799 of the family's 1533-position model. The record is from RNAcentral.